This 67-nucleotide transfer RNA is filed under the name Ictidomys tridecemlineatus (thirteen-lined ground squirrel). RNAcentral describes it as "Spermophilus tridecemlineatus (thirteen-lined ground squirrel) tRNA". It matches the Rfam family "tRNA". Rfam says of the family: Transfer RNA (tRNA) molecules are approximately 80 nucleotides in length. Their secondary structure includes four short double-helical elements and three loops (D, anti-codon, and T loops). The record is from Rfam by way of RNAcentral. Lineage: Eukaryota; Metazoa; Chordata; Mammalia; Rodentia; Sciuridae.
GGUAUAGCUCAGUAGUAGAGCAUUUGUCUAGUGUACAGGUAUAGCUCUGGGUUCCAUUCCCAGCACC